ACGAAAGUCUGACCGAGCAACGCCGCGUGAGUGAAGAAGGUUUUCGGAUCGUAAAGCUCUGUUGUAAGUCAAGAACGUGUGUGAGAGUGGAAAGUUCACACAGUGACGGUAGCUUACCAGAAAGGGACGGCUAACUACGUGCCAGCAGCCGCGGUAAUACGUAGGUCCCGAGCGUUGUCCGGAUUUAUUGGGCGUAAAGGGAGCGCAGGCGGUCAGGAAAGUCUGGAGUAAAAGGCUAUGGCUCAACCAUAGUGUGCUCUGGAAACUGUCUGACUUGAGUGCAGAAGGGGAGAGUGGAAUUCCAUGUGUAGCGGUGAAAUGCGUAGAUAUAUGGAGGAACACCAGUGGCGAAAGCGGCUCUCUGGUCUGUCACUGACGCUGAGGCUCGAAAGCGUGGGUAGCGAACAGGAUUAGAUACCCUGGUAGUCCACGCCGUAAACGAUGAGUGCUAGGUGUUAGGCCCUUUCCGGGCUUAGUGCCGGAGCUAACGCAAUAAGCACUCCGCCUGGGGAGUACGACCGCAAGGUUGAAACUCAAAGGAAUUGACGGGGGCCCGCACAAGCGGUGGAGCAUGUGGUUUAAUU
This 584-nucleotide ribosomal RNA is filed under the name Streptococcus mutans. RNAcentral describes it as "bacterial SSU rRNA". It matches the Rfam family "Bacterial small subunit ribosomal RNA", at positions 375 to 951 of the family's 1533-position model. Lineage: Bacteria; Bacillati; Bacillota; Bacilli; Lactobacillales; Streptococcaceae. The record is from RNAcentral.